Molecule: ribosomal RNA, 467 nt
Filed under: uncultured bacterium
Lineage: Bacteria
Description: partial 16S ribosomal RNA
Rfam family: Bacterial small subunit ribosomal RNA
Source: RNAcentral
GACGAACGCUGGCGGCGUGCUUAACACAUGCAAGUCGAACGAUGAUCAGGAGCUUGCUCCUGUGCUUAGUGGCGAACGGGUGAGUAACACGUGAGUAACCUGCCCCUGACGCUGGGAUAAGCGUUGGAAACGACGUCUAAUACUGGAUAUGAUCACUGGCCGCACGGUCUGGUGGUGGAAAGAUUGUUUGGUUGGGGAUGGACUCGCGGCCUAUCAGCUUGUUGGUGAGGUAAUGGCUCACCAAGGCGACGACGGGUAGCCGGCCUGAGAGGGUGACCGGCCACACUGGGACUGAGACACGGCCCAGACUCCUACGGGAGGCAGCAGUGGGGAAUAUUGCACAAUGGGCGAAAGCCUGAUGCAGCAACGCCGCGUGAGGGAUGACGGCCUUCGGGUUGUAAACCUCUUUUAGUAGGGAAGAAGCGAAAGUGACGGUACCUGCAGAAAAAGCACCGGCUAACUACGUG